GCUGCGGCAGCACAUACUAAAAUCGGAACAAUACAGAGAAGAUUAGCAUGGCCCCUGCACAAGGAUGACUCACAAUCUGUGAAGUGCUCCAUAUUUUG
This 98-nucleotide small nuclear RNA is filed under the name Monodon monoceros (narwhal). Lineage: Eukaryota; Metazoa; Chordata; Mammalia; Artiodactyla; Monodontidae. The record is from RNAcentral.